UGCCACAUCACUCCAGCUUUGUUGAAACCUUAUGUCUCAUCGUCUUCACCUUCUAUGUUUCUAUGUGUUUCUAACUUCUCUGAUUCUCAUCUAUAAGGUCGGGGACAACCUCAUAAAACCCUUUAUUUACUGCAACAAUCGAGACCAAGAAACUGUUGAGAAUCCCUCUGCUUUUCACUUAUUUAUACUCAUAUUCGCAUUCUCUUCCCCUCGCGCCGCAUCCAGGGCGACGCGUACAACCACAACCGCUCGACGAACCUCUGGAAGAUCGGAGGGUUCCUGACGAACAGCUACAGCCCCAAGAAGUUUCGAUCCAGGCACAAGAAGCUCUGCUUUGGGCCCACGACGAUGCCUGAUUGCGUCGUGGUGUUUGAUGCCGAGAGGAAGAGCUCGGUGAUUCUGGAGGCGGCGAAGCUUCAGAUUCCCGUGGUGGCGAUCGUGGAUCCGAAUGUGCCGUUGGAGUUCUUUGAGAAGAUUAUGUAUCCUGUGCCGGCGCGUGACUCAGGUGAAGUUUGUGUAUUUGUUUUGUAAUGUGAUUACGAAGUGCUUUGUGGCGGAGCAGAUGAAGAUGGGGAUCGAAGAUGGGGGCAUGGUCAAGGACUCAGCUACUUGAUUGAUUUGGUUAUGAUGAGUAACAAAGUUUGAAACUUUUUUUUUUAGUAUUGAAUAAUUGUUCUUCAGAAUUUGAAGUUCUGAGUGUUUAUUUUGCACAUUUGGAUGAUUUUGCUGAAAGGUUGUUCAUUUCUUGGAAAUGCUAUAUAGGAUAUUUGUAAGAAACAUGUUAGGUUUUAUGUCUAGCUAAAUGCCUUGGCUAUUCCAGUGUUAGACAAUGUAACCUGAGAUAUGGUUAAUACUUGGGAUAAGAACUCCUCCUGUGUAGACCCUCUUUACCAUAUAUGUUCUAUAUAUCCUUGACAUUGUUAAUGAAGCAAUGAGCUUGAUGUAGAUAACCAACUGUAUUGAAUAAUUGUUCAUCAAAAUUUGAAAAUCUGAGUGUUAUUUUGCAAUUAGGAAGUUUUGUAUGAGUCUUUUGUUCUUUGUCAAGUACAAACUUCUUAGACCAAUCCUUACAUGUCUAGAUCUUUGUAUGAGUCUUUUGUGAUCUUUGUAUGAGAAAGUUCUUUGUAUGAGAAAGUUCAAGAACAUGUAUAGAUUAUUUGUAAGAUCUUUGUAUGAGAAAGUUCUUUGUAUGUCUAGAUCUUUGAAUGUCUAGAUCUUUGUAUGAGAACAUUAGUCUAGACAUGUCCACUGGAUUAAUUAAUGAAUUCAAAUUUUAUAUACACUCAGGUUUUCUUUCUCCAAAAUUUGUUUUAGGGUUCUUCGAAAUUGGCUUUUCUAGGAAAAGCUCCAUUGACUUUGCAGAAUUCCUUACAGAAGCAGACCCAUUAAUUGUAUCUCUUCCUCUCAAGUUUUCCAACUCUGGUUACGAUUGAGAAGAUCCAAAUAGGCAUUGAUUUAAGUUAUUGCAGAUUUUUUAAGAUGAAAAUAAGGUCAAUACUUUCCAAAAAGGAUAGCUUCAGAUCAGCCUACCGAGCAAUGAUUAUUUAUAGGGAUAUAACGAAGACGAAUUGAGCUUAGAUGCUAACAUGGCUUAGACUGUUGGUUUAGGAGGUUCAACUGAUUCCAUUGAUGAAUCACGUGGAUGGAUGGUUCGGAAGGGAAUGCACACUCGCCAGUUCCUGCAUCAAUAACGCAUUAUUGUUUUUUGACCCCACUAAUAUUCAAUCCUGGAUACAAAUCAAAAUGGAAGAAUAAAGUCCAAACCUCUCUAGGUGCCCAAAGGAGUUGGAACUGAUUCCAAUGAAGGGUUCGACCUCAGUAGAAUGAAACGUCCCAUGCUUCGUCUCCACAAUCCUCAUCUCAAAAACAAGAUCCGUGGACGUAGCAGAUAUUGGAAAGAACUGGUGCUGACAAAAGGUUCAUAUAUUGUAUUUGGAUAAAAGAACAUGAUGAUUAUGAGUUUGUCACGGAAUCUCAUUGUCAGAUGUAGUCAACUUCUUGGAUGGUAUGUGAGAAUAGUUUUUUCUUUUCCAAGUUUAUAUUAAUGUCUCAGUUGUUACUGUUUGUUGUUCCCAUGAUUAUAUUAAAGAGGAUGCUCAUGAUUCAAUGGUGUACAGUUACUAAAAUGGCUUCUCAGGUUUUGGGGAAAAGCUUACGAAGUCCCAAGCUAAGCAAAUAGCAGGUACUUUGUCUUAAGUCUCAUUUUUCUUGGGUUUCUUAUUAAAUAAGGUUUUUAUUUACUUAAACUGCAUAGCAAACCAUCUCUUCAACUUUCUUUAACUGAUCACCCACGUCAUAUGCAUGUCUUUUAUUCCUUAACACCACAUCUAGCGACCCAUGUCUACUUUGACAAACAUACAGCAGCUGGCAAGAGCUUUUUCAGAGGCAUGUAUAUUUGACAUCAUCCAUUUUGUAGUUGAGAAGCUAUACCAGACUUUUAAACAUUUUAUCAGUUCGAAAUACCAAUGUACAAUGCAUUAGGUUGGAGUCUAAUGCCAACACUAACCCAGGAGCUGCUCCAUUCAGUCGUGUUUUUGCAAAGAUAUAUUGGGAAUGUGUUAUCACCUAUGCACCUCUGCCUUAUUAGUUGACCAUAAAGAUAACCACAAUGGUUCUGUCAUAAAAGGGAGGCAAUGGUGAAUCUGGUGACGAUAUGCCUGGAGUGGCGUCAGUGACUUCCAAACCCCACGUUGGUUACUGACAAGGCAGCUGACUCGACUGGUGGCCCAAGUGUAGGUGGUAAAUCACCCACCAAGAUGUUGCUCUCACCUGGCUCCAAUGCAACCAAGAAAGUCCCGCAUGGCUUAAAAUCCGAGAGGAUUCACUUUUUUCCCCAACCCCAGCUUCUAAAAUAAUGCAACAGCAGCUGGUUUUCUUUUUUCUAUUUCGUCCCCACACAGCUUAAACGUAUUUUCACAUUUCAGUUAACUUUAGUAUAAUUUUAUUUCAAGCUCAUAAACUUCUGGUCCUUCAAAUGUGUUCAAUCUAGCAACUAUUGGGUUUGUUAGGCUCCGACUUGAAUCCAUGUUAGGCUCUGACUUCAAUA
This is an RNA transcript of Brassica napus (rape), 3046 nucleotides long. RefSeq lists it as uncharacterized. The record is from RefSeq and is a predicted model, not a curated record. NCBI's taxonomy places the organism in Eukaryota, Viridiplantae, Streptophyta, Magnoliopsida, Brassicales, Brassicaceae. The transcript has 6 exons.